CUACCUGCAGUCGAGCGAGACCUAGGCUUCGGCCUAGGGGAAAGCGGCGAACGGGUGAGUAUCACGUGGGUAAUCUGCCCUCGACAUCGGGAUAGCCCGGGGAAACCCGGAUUAAUACCGAAUGGCCCAUCCGCUCUUCGGAGCGGCUGGAAAAGGUAGCUUCGGCCUCCGGUCGAGGAGGAGCCCGCGGCGGAUUAGCUUGUUGGUGAGGUAAUGGCUCACCAAGGCGACGAUCCGUAGCUGGUCUGAGAGGACGAUCAGCCACACUGGGACUGAGACACGGCCCAGACUCCUACGGGAGGCAGCAGUGGGGAAUCUUGCGCAAUGGGCGAAAGCCUGACGCAGCGACGCCGCGUGCGGGAAGAAGGCCUUCGGGUUGUAAACCGCUUUCAGGAGGGACGAAGCCACUCGGGUUAAUAGCCCAGAGGGUGACGGUACCUCCAGAAGAAGCCCCGGCUAACUACGUGCCAGCAGCCGCGGUAAUACGUAGGGGGCUAGCGUUGUCCGGAUUUAUUGGGCGUAAAGAGCGUGUAGGCGGCCAGAUAGGUCUGCUGUGAAAACUCGAGGCUCAACCUCGAGCUGUCGGCGGAAACCAUUUGGCUAGAGUCCGGAAGAGGAAAGUGGAAUUCCUGGUGUAGCGGUGAAAUGCGCAGAUAUCAGGAAGAACACCCGUGGCGAAGGCGGCUUUCUGGGACGGUACUGACGCUGAGACGCGAAAGCGUGGGGAGCGAACAGGAUUAGAUACCCUGGUAGUCCACGCUGUAAACGAUGGGUGCUAGGUGUGGGCGGUGUCGACUCCGUCCGUGCCGAAGCUAACGCAUUAAGCACCCCGCCUGGGGAGUACGGCCGC
Molecule: ribosomal RNA, 850 nt
Filed under: uncultured bacterium
Lineage: Bacteria
Description: bacterial SSU rRNA
Rfam family: Bacterial small subunit ribosomal RNA
Source: RNAcentral